CCUACGGGUGGCUGCAGUGGGGAAUAUUGGACAAUGGGGGCAACCCUGAUCCAGCCAUGCCGCGUGUGUGAAGAAGGCCCUCGGGUUGUAAAGCACUUUCAGUGAGGAAGAACCCCUGGUGGUUAAUACCCAUCAGGAAAGACAUCACUCACAGAAGAAGCACCGGCUAACUCCGUGCCAGCAGCCGCGGUAAUACGGAGGGUGCGAGCGUUAAUCGGAAUUACUGGGCGUAAAGCGCGCGUAGGUGGCUUGAUAAGCCGGUUGUGAAAGCCCCGGGCUCAACCUGGGAACGGCAUCCGGAACUGUCAAGCUAGAGUGCAGGAGAGGAAGGUAGAAUUCCCGGUGUAGCGGUGAAAUGCGUAGAGAUCGGGAGGAAUACCAGUGGCGAAGGCGGCCUUCUGGACUGACACUGACACUGAGGUGCGAAAGCGUGGGUAGCAAACAGGAUUAGAUACCCGGGUAGUC
RNAcentral lists this ribosomal RNA (465 nucleotides) under Vreelandella stevensii. RNAcentral describes it as "partial 16S ribosomal RNA". It matches the Rfam family "Bacterial small subunit ribosomal RNA", at positions 338 to 795 of the family's 1533-position model. The record is from RNAcentral. Lineage: Bacteria; Pseudomonadati; Pseudomonadota; Gammaproteobacteria; Oceanospirillales; Halomonadaceae.